UACAGAGGUCCCGAGCGUUGUUCGGAUUCACUGGGCGUAAAGGGUGCGUAGGUGGCAGGGUAAGUUUGAUGUGAAAUCUCCGGGCUUAACCCGGAAACUGCAUUGAAUACUAUCUUGCUCGAGGGUUGGAGGGGGGACUGGAAUUCUCGGUGUAGCAGUGAAAUGCGUAGAUAUCGAGAGGAACACCAGUGGCGAAGGCGAGUCCCUGGAAAACACCUGACACUGAGGCACGAAAGCUAGGGGAGCAAACAGG
RNAcentral lists this ribosomal RNA (253 nucleotides) under uncultured bacterium. RNAcentral describes it as "partial 16S ribosomal RNA". It matches the Rfam family "Bacterial small subunit ribosomal RNA", at positions 524 to 776 of the family's 1533-position model. The record is from RNAcentral.